AUUGAACGCUGGCGGAAUGCUUUACACAUGCAAGUCGAACGGCAGCACGGACUUCGGUCUGGUGGCGAGUGGCGAACGGGUGAGUAAUGUAUCGGAACGUGCCCAGUCGUGGGGGAUAACGUAGUGAAAAUUACGCUAAUACCGCAUACGAUCUAUGGAUGAAAGCGGGGGAUCGCAAGACCUCGCGCGAUUGGAGCGGCCGAUAUCAGAUUAGGUAGUUGGUGGGGUAAAGGCCCACCAAGCCAACGAUCUGUAGCUGGUCUGAGAGGACGACCAGCCACACGGUAACUGAGACACGGUCCAGACUCCUACGGGAGGCAGCAGUGGGGAAUUUUGGACAAGGGGCGAAAGCCUGAUCCAGCCAUUCCGCGUGCAGGAUGAAGGCCCUCGGGUUGUAAACUGCUUUUGUACAGAACGAAAGGGUUUCUACUAAUACUAGGAGCUCAUGACGGUACUGUAAGAAUAAGCACCGGCUAACUACGUGCCAGCAGCCGCCGUAA
Molecule: ribosomal RNA, 500 nt
Filed under: uncultured bacterium
Lineage: Bacteria
Description: partial 16S ribosomal RNA
Rfam family: Bacterial small subunit ribosomal RNA
Source: RNAcentral